This 467-nucleotide ribosomal RNA is filed under the name uncultured bacterium. RNAcentral's name for it is "partial 16S ribosomal RNA". It matches the Rfam family "Bacterial small subunit ribosomal RNA", at positions 29 to 507 of the family's 1533-position model. The record is from RNAcentral.
ACGAACGCUGGCGGCGUGCUUAACCCAUGCAAGUCGAACGGAAAGGCCCUGCUUUUGUGGGGUGCUCGAGUGGCGAACGGGUGAGUAACACGUGAGUAACCUGCCCUUGACUUUGGGAUAACUUCAGGAAACUGGGGCUAAUACCGGAUAGGAGCUCCUGCUGCAUGGUGGGGGUUGGAAAGUUUCGGCGGUUGGGGAUGGACUCGCGGCUUAUCAGCUUGUUGGUGGGGUAGUGGCUUACCAAGGCUUUGACGGGUAGCCGGCCUGAGAGGGUGACCGGCCACAUUGGGACUGAGAUACGGCCCAGACUCCUACGGGAGGCAGCAGUGGGGAAUAUUGCACAAUGGGCGGAAGCCUGAUGCAGCAACGCCGCGUGCGGGAUGACGGCCUUCGGGUUGUAAACCGCUUUCGCCUGUGACGAAGCGUGAGUGACGGUAAUGGGUAAAGAAGCACCGGCUAACUACAUG